This 456-nucleotide ribosomal RNA is filed under the name uncultured bacterium. RNAcentral's name for it is "bacterial SSU rRNA". It matches the Rfam family "Bacterial small subunit ribosomal RNA", at positions 46 to 518 of the family's 1533-position model. The record is from RNAcentral.
GCCUAACACAUGCAAGUCGAACGGAGAACCCGCCCUCGGGCGGUUAUGAAGUGGCGAACGGGUGAGUAACACCGUGACCAACCUGCCCCGCGCUCAGGGACAGCCUCGGGAAACCGGGAUUAAUACCUGAUGCGCCCCCGCCCCCGCAUGGGGGAGGGGGGAAAGCCCAGGCGGCGCGGGAUGGGGUCGCGGCCCAUCAGGUAGACGGCCGGGUAGAGGCCGGCCGUGCCGACGACGGGUAGCCGGGUUGAGAGACCGACCGGCCACAUUGGGACUGAGAUACGGCCCAGACUCCUACGGGAGGCAGCAGUGGGGAAUAUUGCGCAAUGGGGGCAACCCUGACGCAGCAACGCCGCGUGCGGGACGACGGCCCUCGGGUUGUAAACCGCUUUCAGCAGGGAAGACAUCGACGGUACCUGCAGAAGAAGCCCCGGCUAACUACGUGCCAGCAGCCGC